RNAcentral lists this ribosomal RNA (248 nucleotides) under uncultured Muribaculaceae bacterium. Its description in RNAcentral is "partial 16S ribosomal RNA". It matches the Rfam family "Bacterial small subunit ribosomal RNA", at positions 524 to 771 of the family's 1533-position model. The record is from RNAcentral. Lineage: Bacteria; Pseudomonadati; Bacteroidota; Bacteroidia; Bacteroidales; Muribaculaceae.
UACGUAGGGAGCAAGCGUUGUCCGGAAUGACUGGGCGUAAAGGGUGCGUAGGCGGUUUCGUAAGUUAGAAGUGUAAUCCCGGGGCUUAACCCCGGAGCUACUUCUAAGACUGCGGGACUUGAGUGUGGGAGAGGUAAGUGGAAUUCCUAGUGUAGCGGUGGAAUGCGUAGAUAUUAGGAGGAACACCAGUGGCGAAGGCGGCUUACUGGACCAUAACUGACGCUGAGGCACGAAAGCGUGGGGAGCAA